Long non-coding RNA from Mustela lutreola (European mink), 1674 nucleotides. RefSeq lists it as uncharacterized. The record is from RefSeq and is a predicted model, not a curated record. The transcript has 2 exons. NCBI's taxonomy places the organism in Eukaryota, Metazoa, Chordata, Mammalia, Carnivora, Mustelidae.
GGGAAACACGGAUCCAAAUGUCUGAAAGCCCCAUGACCCAGUUCAUCUCAAUGACCGUUUAUAUGUGGACAGGUUCCACCCUUACUGUAAAAUUUUCAACGCAUAUUCUGUUGGUCACUGUUGAAAAAUGCUACAGAACCAACAGAUUAUCUCGGAAACUGGUAAGUAAAGGACACGAUUAGCCUUUAUUUCCAAAUGCAUAACUAAAAUGAAUGACGGUUUCUUUCUUCAGUUUUAAGUAGGCUCCACACCCAGUGUGGGGUUGAACUCACAACUAGCCAGGCACCACUGAGUUUCUUUUUACAGAAGUAUUCUAAUACAUGAAGAAAUGAUAGCAUUAAAAUAUUAAGAUUUUGCAACCCCUAGCAAAUUGAGAGCUGGCCACUGACAUCAAUAGCAGCCUACAAACAACACAACAGAAGAGUUAAUCAGAUGUUACCUGCCUCCUGAUGAAAAAAUACCCUCACCUAUGAGAUUAUCUUGCCAAGAAUAACUGAACCUCCACUAAUCAAGUCUUUUGCUCUCACUACCAAUUUAUAGGAAAUAUAUACAGGAGAAGAAUGUGUUCAACUGUAUCAUGAUAGAGGAAGCAAAAUUUGGACUUGGGUCAACUCUACAAAACAACCUGGUUUCUUCAAUAAAUACAUCACAAGAUGGCAGAACAAUGAAAUAUCUGAUGACUGCAAAGAGCAAUUCCAGCAGCCUGCACUCUGAACUUUCAAGUGUUACCAUUACUCUUUCUAGAUUAUAACUUCCUUCAGUGGCUUUUCAGAUCCUAGGAAACUACAGUCUGAAUAUCUUUCAGGGAAGACUAUAACAUAAUCACUAGGUUGAAUACUUAAUACUCAAAGAAUAUUGAUCAUUGGCCAGAGAACUGAUACAACAUGGGUAACAGUGAGUAUACAUUUUCAGUAUUACAAAGAAGAGAGGGAUUUACAUAACCACAUUCCAAAGUACAUUACCCAGUAUACUCAUUCCAAUGUGUUUAUAGCCAUUUAUGGUGGGAAUGGUGUCGUCAUACGUGGUCUGUAGUCAUACAUGUUUGAGAAACAUUAAAUUAAAGGUAAUAAUUGACUGAUGUGGACUAUUUAUCCCUAAAGGGAACAUCUACCGUGUACUGCUUGAUCUUAGUUGAUCUCAGAACCCUUUUCUUGUGGGAUAGCUUAUAGGACUAAUUCUGAGAUAUACAUAUACCCGUAUAUCUCAUAUAUAAAAUUUCUAUGAUAGUACAAAGUAAUUGUCUAAUGUUACUAAUGUUAGUGACUAGACAGUGUAUUGUCUUGAGAAUAAUUCCCAGGCCAAACUGGCCACAGUGGGAAAAGAUGAAAACUAUCCAUGUCAUAUUUCUGUUGUUCCUGGCACCCUGCUCAUUACUUGGGAAACCUGUAUAUAGUUCAAAACAAAACACAGCAAAACAAUUCUUCUGGAGCAGAAGAUGCCAGUGUCUUUAGAAGGUGCCAGAGUCUUUCUGUGAUCCCCAACAGAAGCUGAAAGGUAUGUUUAAGUGACAAUGAACCACUUACCUUAACCUGUGAUUUGCUGCGGGAUUAAGCUUCCUAAUUUGUUCAAAUGUCAAAUCACACAGUCGACCAGUGCCAUCAGUUGUCCUGUCGACUGUGUUAUCGUGCAUUAAGACAGGAAUCCCGUCAGAAGUAAACUCAAUGUCCAAUUCCA